AUACGUAGGGGGCGAGCGUUGUCCGGAAUGAUUGGGCGUAAAGGGCGCGUAGGCGGCCCGGUAAGUCUGGAGUGAAAGUCCUGUUUUUAAGAUGGGAAUUGCUUUGGAUACUGAUGGGCUUGAGUGCAGGAGAGGUUAUCGGAAUUCCCGGUGUAGCGGUGAAAUGCGUAGAGAUCGGGAGGAACACCAGUGGCGAAGGCGGGUAACUGGACUGCAACUGACGCUGAGGCGCGAAAGUGUGGGGAGCAAACAGGAUUAGAUACCCUGGUAGUCCACACUGUAAACGAUGAAUGCUAGGUGUAAGAGGUAUCGACCCCUUUUGUGCCGGAGUUAACACAAUAAGCAUUCCGCCUGGGGAGUACGGCCGCAAGGUUGAAACUCAAAGGAAUUGACGGGG
Molecule: ribosomal RNA, 397 nt
Filed under: uncultured bacterium
Lineage: Bacteria
Description: partial 16S ribosomal RNA
Rfam family: Bacterial small subunit ribosomal RNA
Source: RNAcentral